AGGUCACGCAGCGACUGGCGGCACGGGGAUGGUUCAACCAUCGGGGAGCUCGUUGCGGAGAGUCGACCGCCUGGGCUCCCGCG
This 83-nucleotide non-coding RNA is filed under the name Actinoplanes missouriensis. RNAcentral's name for it is "ZTP sequence". It matches the Rfam family "ZMP/ZTP riboswitch aptamer (pfl RNA motif)". From Rfam's summary of the family: Previously known as pfl RNA. ZMP is also known as AICAR. The record is from RNAcentral. Lineage: Bacteria; Bacillati; Actinomycetota; Actinomycetes; Micromonosporales; Micromonosporaceae. RNAcentral also lists the same sequence under 1 other name.